GCUAGCGUGGCCUAGUGGUUGGAGCGCUAGACUAUAACUCUAAAGACCAGAGUUCGAACUGCAGCUCAGCC
This is a non-coding RNA of Phrynosoma platyrhinos (Desert horned lizard), 71 nucleotides long. Lineage: Eukaryota; Metazoa; Chordata; Lepidosauria; Squamata; Phrynosomatidae. The record is from the annotation of a GenBank genome assembly.